Molecule: ribosomal RNA, 434 nt
Filed under: uncultured bacterium
Lineage: Bacteria
Description: bacterial SSU rRNA
Rfam family: Bacterial small subunit ribosomal RNA
Source: RNAcentral
AACGAACGCUGGCGGCAUGCCUAACACAUGCAAGUCGAACGAAGCCUUCGGGCUUAGUGGCGCACGGGUGCGUAACGCGUGGGAAUCUGCCCCUCGGUUCGGAAUAACAGUUAGAAAUGACUGCUAAUACCGGAUGAUGACGAAAGUCCAAAGAUUUAUCGCCGAGGGAUGAGCCCGCGUAGGAUUAGCUUGUUGGUGGGGUAAUGGCCCACCAAGGCGACGAUCCUUAGCUGGUCUGAGAGGAUGAUCAGCCACACUGGGACUGAGACACGGCCCAGACUCCUACGGGAGGCAGCAGUGGGGAAUAUUGGACAAUGGGCGAAAGCCUGAUCCAGCAAUGCCGCGUGAGUGAUGAAGGCCUUAGGGUUGUAAAGCUCUUUUACCAGGGAUGGAUAAUGACAGUACCUGGAGAAUAAGCUCCGGCUAACUCCGUG